This is a long non-coding RNA of Equus caballus (horse), 3258 nucleotides long. RefSeq lists it as uncharacterized. The record is from RefSeq and is a predicted model, not a curated record. Lineage: Eukaryota; Metazoa; Chordata; Mammalia; Perissodactyla; Equidae.
AAUUUGAUUUUUGAUUUAGUUAACUUUUCCUUUUGUAAACUAGCUUGUUUCACAGUGCUUAUUUUUAUAUUAAGUAUACCCUUUGAUGUUCUUUUAUGUAAGAUGUCUGUUUUUUAGUUUCUAACUUUAUUCAUUAAUUACAUAAUGACCCACACUGUAAUGACAUGGGUUUUUAUGUGAGGAUGUAUGGAAUUGCUGAAAAAUUGAAAAGAUUGAAGAAGAGAAGCUGAUGGUUUCCAAAAGUAAGGAUUUUCAUUAGGGAACCAAAAGCUAUCCUCAUUCUAAUUAAUAAAUCCAACAAGACAGAUUUACACUUUUUUCUGUCACUCAGUGAGAGGAAUCAGAUCUUUUCUUGAGUUAGGAAGAAUAUGUCGCCCUAUGCAUUACUGUGAGUGAAAGACCCAGCACAGUAUGUUUUAUUAAGUUCCAUCCCUGCUGCAUAGGCCAGAGGUCUGUUGAAAUUACAGAGGAGUUUUCACACCAGGGAGGUUGUUUCAAUGUGGAACUGGGAAUGCAGGGGGAGGGAGAAGGCUAGAACUGCAUGCUUCUCCUCUUGCCUUAUGUUUCUUUUCAUUUUCACUCCCACUUUCAAGUGGAAGAAGGGCUAAAAGUAAAGCCAUAUGAGCUGUACUGAAACAAUUGGACUAGAGAGAACUGGUUGAUUUUGCAGGAAGCUCAGAUCUGCUUCCUGGCCCAGGGAAACUGAGGCCCGAAGAGAUGAAAGAAUAUGGCCAGCCUUAUGCACUACGGUCAGCAGAACAAGGAUCUGAAGACCAAAGGCCGUGCCCUUUCAGUGCAUCUCACAAAAACCGUGGAAGUAACAGGAAUGAAAACUUCAUGGGCAAAGCCUGACCCUGCUACAGACUCCAAGGACAGCACUGAACCUGGCUUGCUUUAAGGCCCAGCUUUACCUCUGCAGGCUCCGUAACCUUAAUUAAGUCCCUUAUCCUCUCUGAGCCUCAUUUUUCAUCAAUGAAAUGGAAGUAUUGACGCUUUCUUUCUAGGAUUGCUGCAUUAAAGGAUUUAAUGUAAGUGCAAGUGCUUUGUAAAUUGCACAAGCCAAUUUCAAAAUGAACCAUUACUGUGAUUAUUUAUAUUUGGAGAUUAAAAUCAUUUGGUGUUAAUAAAGGAACAAUGAUGGAUUAAUGACAUCCUGAAGAUCUAAAAUAGAGUUGUAGUGGGAUGCCAGAAAUUGGGUAAUGAACAGACAUGCUAUUGGUAAUUUCUCAAAAGUAUUAGAGGGACAAUGGGGGAAGAUCCCGAGUGUGGUAGGAGCUGUUUGGAGAAAGAACCAAGGGACAGAAUGUGCUUCAAAGACAUGCUUUCUGUAAGAGACAAAACCUCUUCAGCCCGGAGAGGUUACUGUGUGCCGUGAUUUUAUAGACAGCACGGGGUAGUCAAAUGAGUUAGUCUCUGAUCUGCCACUUCCUAAUUGUGUGAAUUCUUUAAUCUCUCUGCAAAACGUGAAGAGAAUGACACCUGUCUCAACGGGGUUAUCAAGAUUAAAUGGGAUGAUACAUGGAAAGUGCCUGGCUUCUAAUAUGGCUCAGUAAAUAUGUUUUUCUCCUCCUCCUUCUUUUAUUUUUUUGGUCAGAUAGGGGCUCUAACUAGGUGAGCCACUAUCAAUACUAUGAGAAGCGUAUGUGCUUCUCAGAGCAUUCAGGCAAGGUCAGAAAGCAAUCAGUAGAAUCCUAAUAAAUUCUCUGGGAUUACUCAGGAUGCUGUCCAACCUUGUUAAUAGAGUUUGAGUAUAUGUAGCCACUUCAAUUAUCAUCUGGUGCAGAGAAAGUUGUUGGUGUUCAGUACGUGGAAAGACUCUGAAGAGGGGGCUCUGAGGAAAGCAAGGAGGUGUCUGUGCUGAGCGAAGGGUGUACAGGGAUUCAAUUCAGGACCCCUUCAGAGAUAAGCAUUCUGUGUUGAGGAAUGAGGAAAGCAAUCAUCAGCUAAGCCAGACUUUGGUAAGAAGCUCUUGCUAAGGGACGCCUUAUGAAGAAUCAAGUUUUCCAAACGGUAGAGUUGACUCAUUGAGUCAUUUUUAAGUAUUUGUUAUCUACCACUCUUUGGGCAAACAACUGAGGGUUUAUAAAUGUAAACAUUUCAAUUAUAAAAUAUAACUUUUUAAGAAUUGUUAAUUCAAAAUACAUCUAAAUAAGAAUGAGUAGUCAAUGAUUUUAGCUAUUAAAUAUAUAAGCAUAUUAAAUUAUGCAAGUAAAAUGGAAAUCAGUUGAAAAAAGGAAGCUUUUUUCCAUGUCGUCAACUUUAGACCUAAGGCGAUCUGUUUGCAUAGUGUGCUGAAUGUGGACAAAAUGUGGUCAUAGGACAGCUACUUGGUAUUUUUAUCUUCCAGAUUUUUCCUAUAGUCCUCACUAAAGAAAACAAAUUCAAAGUGAGUGAAGUUUUAAAACUUACCUAUAUUUCAAAGUUCCAUAGGCUUCGAAUUAUUGUUGUUAUACCACAAGAAAUUCCAUCUUUUUUCCAUAUUAGGUUAGGAAAUGAUUCUGACAUUUCCCAUAUCUCUUUCUUCCACACUAUCUAUAUUUUGUAAUAAUACUAAUAAUCUCAUCUUAUAUUUGAGCUUUCCAAUUUUAUAUGUUCAUCAUCUCAUUUUAAGCCAAGGCAAUUUAAACACUUAUAUCAGAAGUUGCUGCCUCUGUCCCGAUCCUGUAUGAUGGGCAGGGAAGGACAUGGAGAAGUGAGGUCAACACCUGUGACCAAAUAAUCAGGGAAGUAACAGGGAGAAAAUGUUAGUGAAGUCUUCCCAUAGUGCCUUCUUUUCCAAAUACCAUAGUUGUGAUUGGGGUGGGCCUGGGAAAGAUGUGAUGGAGGGGCAGUCUAAACACACCCAUGGACCUGUCACUUGUCCUAAGGUGAGAGUGGGAGCUAGGGCUGUGAAGAAGGACUGUUUCUUGAUCAUCUGCCAUGUGCCAGGUAGAUGCUAAUAGCUUAGCACACAUAUUUUUAAUCUGCUCAACAACUGUAAAAGAUAGAUAUUUUUACUAUCAUCCCUUAGGUGAGGAAAUCAGCUUAGAGAGCUGUGGUAAGUUACCAAUAUGUAUUUUAAGAAUACGUCUUGUGUUUAUUUUACAUUUAGUUGUAAAUUUACAUUAAAAUUUCUCUUGUUGCCUUCUGAUGUGGUUCCUUAGUCUUUAUUAGAAAUCCAAAUGGAAGAUCUGAUUGUUUCCUUACAAACGAGAAUAGCCCUUAUACAUGCAGCAUGUGACAAAAUAAAAAUAAAAGUAGUUUGGAAUAUCUCAGUGA